RNAcentral lists this antisense RNA (1259 nucleotides) under Homo sapiens (human). Its description in RNAcentral is "antisense noncoding RNA in the INK4 locus 1-5-6-7-9-10-12-13 variant". The stretch from base 379 to 522 matches the Rfam family "CDKN2B antisense RNA 1 convserved region 3". Lineage: Eukaryota; Metazoa; Chordata; Mammalia; Primates; Hominidae. The record is from RNAcentral.
AGCUACAUCCGUCACCUGACACGGCCCUACCAGGAACAGCCGCGCUCCCGCGGAUUCUGGUGCUGCUCGCGUCCCCGCUCCCCUAUUCCCCUUAUUUUAUUCCUGGCUCCCCUCGUCGAAAGUCUUCCAUUCUUCAAACUAGAUUAUUUAAAAAUGAAAAAGGAAGAAAGGAAAGCGAGGUCAUCUCAUUGCUCUAUCCGCCAAUCAGGAGGCUGAAUGUCAGUUUUGAACUAAAAGCCGCUCCGCUCCUCUUCUAGAUUUGGAAAACAAGCGAAAUUAAACUAAACCGCUGCACGCCUCUGACGCGACAUCUGGACACGGCGCGGCGCUGGCGCUGCCGGAGCUGUCGACCCGGCCUGGCGCCGGACUAGUGUCCCUUUUGAUGAGAAGAAUAAGCCUCAUUCUGAUUCAACAGCAGAGAUCAAAGAAAAGACUUCUGUUUUCUGGCCACCAGAUAUAUGUUAUCUGUGCUUAAAGAAUUGAAAAACACACAUCAAAGGAGAAUUUUCUUGGAAAGAGAGGGUUCAAGCAUCACUGUUAGGUGUGCUGGAAUCCUUUCCCGAGUCAGUACUGCUUUCUAGAAGAAAACCGGGGAGAUCUAUUUGGAAUGUAUCUAACUCCAAAGAAACCAUCAGAGGUAACAGUAGAGACGGGGUUUCACCAUGUUGGCCAGACUGGUCUUGAACUCUCGACCUCGUGAUUCGCCCGCCUCGGCCUCCCAAAGUGCUGGGAUUACAGGUGUGAGACACCACACCCGGCGGAUAGAGAGAAUUUUGACAGAUAUGACACAUUCAUAAUUUAAACAGAAGCCUACGAAGAACUCAUAAAUUAAAAGAAGAUAAUCUUUUCACAAGGUGAUGGAGGCUUUUUAUUUUGCCACAAAACCACUGGUGACGUUGCCUGUGGCCACCUUGGAGAAGACACUGGAGACAGGGUCUCACUCUGUCACCCAGGCUGGAGUGUAUUGGCAUGAUUACAGCUCACUGCAACCUUGAACUCCCAGGCUCAAACCUGAGCAGCUGGGACUACAGAUGCACCACCAUGCAUGAUGAUUACGGAGCUAGGAAUUUCCUACGAAGCUGGGUGAUAAAAGGACAUUGGACAAAAACACAGAUAGCUUCAUUCUAUACCAGGAUCCAUCACUGAUUAGCUGUAUUAUAUUUGUCUCUACUGUAAUUUGAGGAGAAUGAUACCUGCUUCUCUAUCUUGUUGGGUUUUACAGAUGAUGUAUUGAAAGUUCAAUAAAAUCUAUAAACAAU